GCAAACUUGGUCAUUUAGAGGAAGUAAAAGUCGUAACAAGGUUUCCGUAGGUGAACCUGCGGAAGGAUCAUUAUCGAGUUUUGAAAGGGGUUGUAGCUGGCCUUCCGGGGCAUGUGCACACCCUGCUCAAUCCACUCUUUACACCUGUGCACUUACCGUGGGUCCUCUGAGGUGGUGGAAGCAGGCCUAGGUCUUUUUCCUCGGCCUGUGAAGCCCCUUUUGGGCACGCGUUUUUAUUAUAAACCCUAAAGUGAUCAGAAUGUGCAAUGCGACGUUAACGCAUCUAUAUACAACUUUCAGCAACGGAUCUCUUGGCUCUCGCAUCGAUGAAGAACGCAGC
This 340-nucleotide unclassified non-coding RNA is filed under the name uncultured fungus. RNAcentral's name for it is "partial contains small subunit ribosomal RNA, internal transcribed spacer 1, and 5.8S ribosomal RNA". The stretch from base 1 to 73 matches the Rfam family "Eukaryotic small subunit ribosomal RNA", at positions 1759 to 1831 of the family's 1831-position model. Lineage: Eukaryota; Fungi. The record is from RNAcentral.